CGGCGAACGGGUGAGUAACGCGUGGGCAACCUACCCAGAAGCGGGGGAUAGCUUCGCGAAAGUGGAGGUAAUACCGCAUUCGCCCACCACAUGGAAAGGCUCACUUCUGGAUGGGCCUGCGUCCGAUUAGCUAGUUGGUAGGGUAACGGCCUACCAAGGCUGCGAUCGGUAGCCGGCCUGAGAGGGCGAUCGGUCACAUUGGGACUGAGACACGGCCCAGACUCCUACGGGAGGCAGCAGUGGGGAAUCUUGGGCAAUGGGCGGAAGCCUGACCCAGCGACGCCGCGUGGGGGAUGAAGGCCUUCGGGUUGUAAACCCCUGUCAGGGGGGACGAAUGACGGUACCCCCAAAGGAAGCCCCGGCUAACUCCGUGCCAGCAGCCGCGGUAAUACGGAGGGGGCGAGCGUUAUUCGGAAUUACUGGGCGUAAAGCGCGCGCAGGUGGCGCGGCAAGUGGCAGGUGAAAGCCCUCGGCUCAACCGAGGAAUU
This 488-nucleotide ribosomal RNA is filed under the name uncultured soil bacterium. RNAcentral describes it as "bacterial SSU rRNA". It matches the Rfam family "Bacterial small subunit ribosomal RNA", at positions 96 to 622 of the family's 1533-position model. The record is from RNAcentral.